Nematolebias whitei (Rio pearlfish) is the source of this 133-nucleotide long non-coding RNA. RefSeq lists it as uncharacterized. NCBI's taxonomy places the organism in Eukaryota, Metazoa, Chordata, Actinopteri, Cyprinodontiformes, Rivulidae. The transcript has 3 exons. The record is from RefSeq and is a predicted model, not a curated record.
AGUGUGUUCAUCACACAUGGAGCACGAGGUCAGACAACUUCAGAAACUGAAAACGCAACAGCCAGUCAAGCUGCAAGCUGUGGUGGUUACUUGUAUAACAGCAGCGACACAUUUUACAGCCCCAACUAUCCAA